UUCCUACGGGAGGCAGCAGUGGGGAAUAUUGCACAAUGGGGGAAACCCUGAUGCAGCGACGCCGCGUGAGUGAAGAAGUAUUUCGGUAUGUAAAGCUCUAUCAGCAGGGAAGAAAAUGACGGUACCUGAUUAAGAAGCCCCGGCUAACUACGUGCCAGCAGCCGCGGUAAUACGUAGGGGGCAAGCGUUAUCCGGAUUUACUGGGUGUAAAGGGAGCGUAGACGGCGUGCCAAGUCUGAUGUGAAAGGCCGGGGCUCAACCCCGGGACUGCAUUGGAAACUGGCAUGCUGGAGUGCCGGAGGGGG
Molecule: ribosomal RNA, 305 nt
Filed under: uncultured bacterium
Lineage: Bacteria
Description: bacterial SSU rRNA
Rfam family: Bacterial small subunit ribosomal RNA
Source: RNAcentral